GAAAUGCGAUAAGUAAUGUGAAUUGCAGAAUUCAGUGAACCAUCGAAUCUUUGAACGCACAUUGCGCCCGCCAGUAUUCUGGCGGGCAUGCCUGUUCGAGCGUCAUUACAACCCUCAGGCCCCCGGGCCUGGCGUUGGGGAUCGGCGGAAGCCCCCUGCGGGCACAACGCCGUCCCCCAAAUACAGUGGCGGUCCCGCCGCAGCUUCCAUUGCGUAGUAGCUAACACCUCGCAACUGGAGAGCGGCGCGGCCACGCCGUAAAACACCCAACUUCUGAAUGUUGACCUCGAAUCAGGUAGGAAUACCCGCUGAACUUAAGC
Molecule: unclassified non-coding RNA, 320 nt
Filed under: plant metagenome
Description: partial contains 5.8S ribosomal RNA, internal transcribed spacer 2, and large subunit ribosomal RNA
Rfam family: 5.8S ribosomal RNA (bases 1-105)
Source: RNAcentral